AUGCCCUGUAUGCCAGAUGGCCAGUCCACCCCUGCUCGGGGGGCAGAGGAGGUAGAGGAGGACGGGGCUCCAGAGACUUCACUGUCAGGGGCAGGAGAUGAUGAGGAGCUUGAGGAGGCAGCAGCAGGGCCAUCGCACAAUACAGACCAGCCCAGCAGUGAGUCAGACCCAGAGGACGCUGAUGCUGCUCCUGCUCCUGCUCCUGCCCCUGUCCCUGUCCCUGCCGCUGGCCCUUCCUGUGUACCUGUCCCUGAGGCUGGCCCUGCCCCAAGACCACAGAGCGGGACGAAGAGGAAGAGAGCCAGGGUACCAGAGGGGAACACAAAUAUGCAGGGAGCCAUCCUCCAGGCCCUGCAGAGGCAAAAUGCUGUGCCUACCCCUACCCCGCUCUCUGGGAAUGAGCACUUUGUCAUGGGCCUAGUUCCUUCCCUGGAGAGAUUGCCACCUGAAGCACUGGAGUACGUUAAAUUCAAAAUUCGUAAGGUCAUAUUUGACAAUUUCACCCUUAAUUUGGAACCUUUUUAA
RNAcentral lists this long non-coding RNA (525 nucleotides) under Gadus morhua (Atlantic cod). Its description in RNAcentral is "lncRNA (ENSGMOG00000024310.1)". The record is from RNAcentral. Lineage: Eukaryota; Metazoa; Chordata; Actinopteri; Gadiformes; Gadidae.